AGCUCCAAUAGCGUAUAUUAAAGUUGCUGCAGUUAAAAAGCUCGUAGUUGCAUUUCCGAGGCAAGGGAUUAGUCCGACCUUUGGUGGGUAUUUAAUCCUCUUGCCUCGUCCUUGAGUGGUGCUUCUUGGUAUUAAGUUAUCGAGGAGAUAGCCGCUCAUCGUUUACUGUGAGAAAAUUAGAGUGUUCAAAGCAGGCUUAUGCCGUUGAAUAUAUUAGCAUGGAAUAAUAAGAUAGGACCUCGGUACUAUUUUGUUGGUUUGAGAACCAAGGUAAUGAUUAAUAGGGACAGUUGGGAGUAUUCGUAUUCAGUUGUCAGAGGUGAAAUUCUUAGAUUUACGGAAGACGAACUACUGCGAAAGCAUUUACCAAGGAUGUUUUCA
This 381-nucleotide ribosomal RNA is filed under the name uncultured marine Chaetocerotaceae. Its description in RNAcentral is "SSU rRNA". It matches the Rfam family "Eukaryotic small subunit ribosomal RNA", at positions 587 to 972 of the family's 1831-position model. The record is from RNAcentral. Lineage: Eukaryota; Bacillariophyta; Thalassiosirophyceae; Chaetocerotales; Chaetocerotaceae.